This 912-nucleotide ribosomal RNA is filed under the name Cellulosimicrobium funkei. RNAcentral describes it as "bacterial SSU rRNA". It matches the Rfam family "Bacterial small subunit ribosomal RNA", at positions 56 to 983 of the family's 1533-position model. The record is from RNAcentral. Lineage: Bacteria; Bacillati; Actinomycetota; Actinomycetes; Micrococcales; Promicromonosporaceae.
UGCAAGUCGAACGAUGAUGCCCAGCUUGCUGGGUGGAUUAGUGGCGAACGGGUGAGUAACACGUGAGUAACCUGCCCUUGACUUCGGGAUAACUCCGGGAAACCGGGGCUAAUACCGGAUAUGAGCCGUCCUCGCAUGGGGGUGGUUGGAAAGUUUUUCGGUCAGGGAUGGGCUCGCGGCCUAUCAGCUUGUUGGUGGGGUGAUGGCCUACCAAGGCGACGACGGGUAGCCGGCCUGAGAGGGCGACCGGCCACACUGGGACUGAGACACGGCCCAGACUCCUACGGGAGGCAGCAGUGGGGAAUAUUGCACAAUGGGCGAAAGCCUGAUGCAGCGACGCCGCGUGAGGGAUGAAGGCCUUCGGGUUGUAAACCUCUUUCAGCAGGGAAGAAGCGCAAGUGACGGUACCUGCAGAAGAAGCGCCGGCUAACUACGUGCCAGCAGCCGCGGUAAUACGUAGGGCGCAAGCGUUGUCCGGAAUUAUUGGGCGUAAAGAGCUCGUAGGCGGUUUGUCGCGUCUGGUGUGAAAACUCGAGGCUCAACUUCGAGCUUGCAUCGGGUACGGGCAGACUAGAGUGCGGUAGGGGAGACUGGAAUUCCUGGUGUAGCGGUGGAAUGCGCAGAUAUCAGGAGGAACACCGAUGGCGAAGGCAGGUCUCUGGGCCGCAACUGACGCUGAGGAGCGAAAGCAUGGGGAGCGAACAGGAUUAGAUACCCUGGUAGUCCAUGCCGUAAACGUUGGGCACUAGGUGUGGGGCUCAUUCCACGAGUUCCGUGCCGCAGCAAACGCAUUAAGUGCCCCGCCUGGGAGUACGGCCGCAAGGCUAAAACUCAAAGGAAUUGACGGGGGCCCGCACAAGCGGCGGAGCAUGCGGAUUAAUUCGAUGCACGCGAAGACCUUACCAAGGCUUG